Molecule: ribosomal RNA, 773 nt
Filed under: Drosophila montana
Lineage: Eukaryota; Metazoa; Arthropoda; Insecta; Diptera; Drosophilidae
Description: partial 16S ribosomal RNA
Source: RNAcentral
AUUAUGCUACCUUUGCACAGUUAGAAUACUGCGGCCAUUUAAAAAUUUUCAGUGGGCAGGUUAGACUUUAAAUUUAUUUCAAAAAGACAUGUUUUUGUUAAACAGGCGAAUAUUAUUUUUGCCGAAUUCUUUACUUAAACUUAUCAUUUAAAUUUAUUUUACAAUAAAAUAUACUAAUUCUAUCAUUAUUACUUAAUUUUAAAAAUUAAAAUUAAUAUUUCAAUAAAAAUUUAAAAUAUAAUAAAUAAUUUAAUUUAUAAAAUAAAUUAUAACAUAAUUUUAAAUAAUUGCUAAUUCUAAGCAUAUAUUUUUUAAAUUUAUUUAUUAUUUAUAAAAAUUUAUUUUAUAGCUUAUCCCAUAAAAUAUUAAAAUUAUAAAUUAUUUAAUUAAAAAAUUUUUUAAAUAAAUUUAUAAUUUCUAAAUUAAAUUUAUUUCUUGAAAAACUAGAUACCUUUAAAAACGAAUAACAUUUCAUUUCUAAUAUAAUAUUUAAAAUAAUUUUAUUACAUUAACUUUUAUACUAUAUUAACUCUUUUAAAAUCGAGAAAAAUAUAUUUAAAUAUUUUUUAUUUAAUAAACGCUGAUACACAAGGUACGAUAAAUUAAAUCUUCUUUUAAAAUAAAAAUUUUUCAAAAUAUUUCAAUUUUCUUUUACAAUACUACUAAACUAUUAUUAAAAUUAUUUUUUCUUUAAACAAUACUAAAACUUUUUCUUAUAUAAUUAUUUUUAAUAUUUUUACUCAAAAUUAAUAAAAUUAAUAAAUAAAAUCUAA